GUGUGACUGCGUACCUUUUGUAUAAUGGGUCAGCGACUUAUAUUCUGUAGCAAGGUUAACCGAAUAGGGGAGCCGAAGGGAAACCGAGUCUUAACUGGGCGUUAAGUUGCAGGGUAUAGACCCGAAACCCGGUGAUCUAGCCAUGGGCAGGUUGAAGGUUGGGUAACACUAACUGGAGGACCGAACCGACUAAUGUUGAAAAAUUAGCGGAUGACUUGUGGCUGGGGGUGAAAGGCCAAUCAAACCGGGAGAUAGCUGGUUCUCCCCGAAAGCUAUUUAGGUAGCGCCUCGUGAAUUCAUCUCCGGGGGUAGAGCACUGUUUCGGCAAGGGGGUCAUCCCGACUUACCAACCCGAUGCAAACUGCGAAUACCGGAGAAUGUUAUCACGGGAGACACACGGCGGGUGCUAACGUCCGUCGUGAAGAGGGAAACAACCCAGACCGCCAGCUAAGGUCCCAAAGUCAUGGUUAAGUGGGAAACGAUGUGGGAAGGCCCAGACAGCCAGGAUGUUGGCUUAGAAGCAGCCAUCAUUUAAAGAAAGCGUAAUAGCUCACUGGUCGAGUCGGCCUGCGCGGAAGAUGUAACGGGGCUAAACCAUGCACCGAAGCUGCGGCAGCGACGCU
This 623-nucleotide ribosomal RNA is filed under the name Escherichia coli. RNAcentral describes it as "bacterial LSU rRNA". It matches the Rfam family "Bacterial large subunit ribosomal RNA", at positions 591 to 1215 of the family's 2925-position model. The record is from RNAcentral. Lineage: Bacteria; Pseudomonadati; Pseudomonadota; Gammaproteobacteria; Enterobacterales; Enterobacteriaceae.